This 708-nucleotide long non-coding RNA is filed under the name Nicotiana tabacum (common tobacco). RNAcentral's name for it is "long non-coding RNA (NTAB_LNC005223)". Lineage: Eukaryota; Viridiplantae; Streptophyta; Magnoliopsida; Solanales; Solanaceae. The record is from RNAcentral.
GAACCUUCUCCUAGGAUCAAAAUCUUAGUCUGAUGAAUCUUUCUCCUAAGAUGCCAAAAAAAAACAAAAAUGACCUAGUCUGAUGAACCUUCUCCUAGGAUCAAAAUCUUAGUCUGAUGAAUCUUUCUCCUAAGAUGCCAAAAAAAAAAAUGACCUAGUUUGAUGAACCUUCUCCUAGGAUCAAAAUCUUAGUCCGAUGAAUUUUUCUCCUAAGAUAGAGACCUAGUCUGACGAACCUUCUCCUAGGAUCAAAAUCUUAGUCUGAUGAAUCUUUUUCCUAAGAUACCAAAAAGAAAAAACCUAGUCUGACGAAUUUUUCUCCUAAGAUAGAGACCUAGUCUGACGAACCUUCUCCUAGGAUCGAAAUCUUAGUCUGAUGAAUCUUUCUCCUACGAUACCAAAAAAAAAAAGACCUAGUCUGACAAACCUUCUCCUAGGAUCAAAAUCUUAGUCUGAUGAAUCUUUCUCCUAAGAUACCAAAAAAGAAAAGACCUAGUCUGAUGAACCUUCUCCUAGGAUCAAAAUCUUAGUCUGACGAAUUUUUCUCCUAAGAUAGAGACCUAGUUUGAUGAACCUUCUCCUAGGAUCAAAAUCUUAGUCUGACGAAUCUUUCUCCUAAGAUACCAAAAAGAAAAGACCUAGUCUGAUGAACCUUCUCCUAGGAUCUAAAUCUUAGUCUGAUGAAUCUUUCUCCUAAGAUACCAAAAA